GCUGGAAUCGCUAGUAAUCGUGGAUCAGCAUGCCACGGUGAAUACGUUCCCGGGUCUUGUACACACCGCCCGUCACACCAUGGGAGCCGGUAAUACCCGAAGUCAGUAGUCUAACCGCAAGGAGGACGCUGCCGAAGGUAGGAUUGGCGACUGGGGUGAAGUCGUAACAAGGUACC
This 176-nucleotide ribosomal RNA is filed under the name uncultured bacterium. RNAcentral describes it as "partial 16S ribosomal RNA". It matches the Rfam family "Bacterial small subunit ribosomal RNA", at positions 1325 to 1500 of the family's 1533-position model. The record is from RNAcentral.